RNAcentral lists this transfer RNA (69 nucleotides) under Anolis woodi. Its description in RNAcentral is "tRNA-Tyr". The record is from RNAcentral. Lineage: Eukaryota; Metazoa; Chordata; Lepidosauria; Squamata; Anolidae.
GAUAAAGAGAGGAGUUAAACCAAUGUGAGUAGGACUACAGCCUACCGCCUUCCGCUCGGCCACUUUACC